AGCGAACGCUGGCGGCAGGCUUAACACAUGCAAGUCGAGCGGGCACUUCGGUGUCAGCGGCAGACGGGUGAGUAACACGUGGGAACGUACCCUUUGGUUCGGAAUAACGCUGGGAAACUAGCGCUAAUACCGGAUACGCCCUUUUGGGGAAAGGCUUGCUGCCGAAGGAUCGGCCCGCGUCCGAUUAGCUAGUUGGUGGGGUAAUGGCCUACCACGGCGACGAUCAGUAGCUGGUCUGAGAGGAUGAUCAGCCACACUGGGACUGAGACACGGCCCAGACUCCUACGGGAGGCAGCAGUGGGGAAUAUUGGACAAUGGGCGCAAGCCUGAUCCAGCCAUGCCGCGUGAGUGAUGAAGGCCUUAGGGUUGUAAAGCUCUUUUGUCCGGGACGAUAAUGACGGUACCGGAAGAAUAAGCCCCGGCUAACUUCGUG
This 433-nucleotide ribosomal RNA is filed under the name uncultured bacterium. Its description in RNAcentral is "partial 16S ribosomal RNA". It matches the Rfam family "Bacterial small subunit ribosomal RNA", at positions 29 to 507 of the family's 1533-position model. The record is from RNAcentral.